Pan troglodytes (chimpanzee) is the source of this 4370-nucleotide long non-coding RNA. RefSeq lists it as uncharacterized. NCBI's taxonomy places the organism in Eukaryota, Metazoa, Chordata, Mammalia, Primates, Hominidae. The transcript is spliced from 3 exons. The record is from RefSeq and is a predicted model, not a curated record.
AGCAGAAUGGGUCCCCCCUCCAACCCCCCAUGAAACUAUUGUUCAGAGUUCAUGUGGAGGAAGUGUUAGUAAAGGCCUGGCUGAGCAAUGGCAGAGAUGACAGGAAAUUAGGCCAAAGAAAGCUGAGCCCCAGCAGGCUGCCUCUGUGCUCAUCUCCCCAGCGUUAGGCCUUACCUGGUGACAGGUGAGGAUCACUCGUUGGGAGGCCCUGUGUUUGCUCCCUGACUUGGGAGGCAUGGCAGAUGCAGCUGCCAGGCAAGGACUUGGGAACGUCGCAGCCCAAGUGUUUGGUGGAGGCAACAGUGUCAGGGAGGGAGCUUCGCCCUACUCCAUGGGGCUCCUUCAUGGAGGGGAUAAAGCCAGGAGGUGGGAAUCCAGGCACUGGCACUGCACCACCGGGGUUCAAGCCCCAGUGCUGUCACUGACCAGCAGUGUGACCUUGGGCAAGCCACGUAACCACCCUGUAAGAGGGGGCAGAUGAUACAGCCCCGUCGCAGGGUUGCUAUGAGGAUGAAAUGAGCGAAUCUCUGUGAUUUGAACAGUGCCUUGUCCCUAGUGAGUGCUUAAUUUGUGCUAGUGUUUGUGACUGAGGACAGAGAAGUGAAUCCAGGCCUGAGGCUGGAUACUGGCUCAUGGAUCAGGUGCACAGCCAGCUCUGCAGGCCAGCCGUCUGAGGUCUGGCAGUCUGUUUUGGUGCAGGCCACUGGGGCCAGCCUGCCCGCUGAUCCAGGCACUUCUCUUGCUGACUAACCAAGGUGUCUGCUGGCUCUUCCCAGUUCUCCUCUGCCCUCACCAUGCACAGAUCCUAGGAACUCCAGGUUGAGAAGGGCCCUGAGAGCCACCCUGCUAAUCAGCGCCUCCAUAGCAGGCCCACCUGGCUGUCAGCACCCUCUGCUCACACACUUCCAGGACAUGCCAGGCAGUCAUCUUAGCUCUGGACAACUCUGAGUGACUCAUGGGGGCCAUGGUCUGACAGACUGCGUCUUCCUCCCACCAGCCCAAUGCAACCCCACAGCUGCCCAGAAUAAGCCUGUUUCUUUCUUUUCGACAUGUUGUUGCUUCCCAUAUUGUGAGGCCACUCUCUCAUCCCACCUUGAAGAAUUCACAUUUCCAUUUCUUCCAACCAUUUCCUCAUAGCACAGUUUCUAGUUUGCUGGCAGGCUGCCCCAUCUGAUCAUACCUGAUCACAUGUCAAUUUGUCUUUGGCCCUUCUCUUUGGGGGUUCUGAGUAGUCAGACCCUACAUUGCCCCAAUCAGACAUCACACUUGUGGACACCACCCCCUCCCUGGAAGUACACUGGAUUCUCUAGAAGCCACAUCCCACUGGUGGUCGCACUGAGCAGACUGUCAAUGGAGAGGCCCUGUGCUUUCCCAGGACUGCUGUUAAGCCACAUUGCUUAAACAAUGUCCCCACCACUGCAGGCUCAGCCAACCCAGGCAAGCUCUUGAGCCCAUGUAAGGCCUGCCUCUCUCUCUCUCUCAUUCUGUGUAUGUGUGUGUGUCCUCAUUCAGGUCUCCACAGAUAUAGAAGUCUUCUCUGUAUUUAAUUGUCCUUAGCUUCCAGCCCCCAGGGACUGGGUUGGCAUAUCUUAGAGGAAAGAGUGUAGGCUUUGGACUCAGACAGAAAUCUCUCUUUGAAGGCUAGUUCUGCCCCCGACCAGAUGUGUGACUGUAGACCAUGUGACUUUCCUCUCUCUGAACCUCUGUUUCCUCACAUGUGAAAUGGGAGAGUAAUACUAGCCUUCUGUGGUGAGUGUGAGAAAUCAAGUACAAUAGGAAUAAACAUGUCUGCUCCCUUCCUGGGCCAUUUGGUACCACAAUGACGAUGACUACAAUGAUGCUACUUGUCAUUUAUCUCCUGGAGGAGCUGAGAAGAGCUUGCUCAACAACAAUUCAUCACUUGGAGAAAAAAUGCAGGUGUCAGAUCAAUUAUACCUUGUUAUAAACACAGACGUAUGCAAAAUGAAGAUUCCCCACCAGCUGUGCCCAAGUCACGCUAGAACAGCCAGCAGACACCAAGUAAACACCACCUAAUGAUGAACCUGAUCGGACCAUUCACGCCAGUUGGCAGAUCCAUAAUUUCAUGGGGGCAUCACCCAGAGCGAAGCCAGCACCAGCCUCCUUGAAAAUGCUAUUGUAUGCUCUUUUUGGCAGCAUUUCCACUAAAACUGGAACCAUGCAGAGGUCAGCAUGGCCCCUGCAGAAAGAAGACAGCAAGUUUGUGAAGCAUUUUAUAUGAAAUUCUGGUACAUGCUACAACUUGUGUGAAUCUUGUGUGAUUCCACUUAUAUAAAAGACCUGGAGUAGUCAAAUUCAUAGAGACACAAAGUAGCAGGGUGGUUGCUGGGUGCUGGGGGGAGUGAGGAAUGGGGAAUUCUUAUUUAGUGAGUACAGAGUUUUAGUUUGGGGUGAUGAAAAAGUUCUAAAAUGGAUGGUGAUGGUGACUGCACAACAAUAUGAUGUAUUUAGUGCCAGUGAACUGUCCACUCAAAUGUGGCUAAAAUGGUAAAUGUUAUGUAUAUUUUACAAUAAAAAAUGGCAAAAAAUAUUGCAAAGCCAAUUCUACCAGGUGAGCAGGAAGAGGAGAGGUUGUUGGAAAUAGAUGUGUCACUUCAGGGAGGCUGAUGGGUGGCAGUCACCCUCGGCAGGGGCUUCUUGGUUCUAUUGUCUGUGGGCUUGGGUGGCCCUGUCAGAUCUGGGGAAGGAGACAGCAUUUGGGGAGGGGUAGAAAGAACCCCUGGCCAUCUGAUGCUAUUCUACAUGUGCCCCAAUGGGUGAAGAGUAGAGCAACUCCAGAGCAGAAGUUGGCAGGAAUCAAAUGCCUGGGAAGAAGUUGCUGAAGAUCCAGCAUGGUGAUUCACAGCAGCUGGGCCCGGGUUCAAAUCCUGCUCUAGCAAUGACUAGCUGCGUGACCCUAGGCAGAUUACUUACCCUCUGCCUCAGUUAAAUAGGAACACUAGUACCUACUGUGUAGGAAUAUAGUCAGGACUAAAUGAGGUAAAGUGUGUUAAAUGCUAGGGGUGCCUGGCAAUAAAUGAAGGAAUGGUAAACACUGUAUUUUGUUUCAAUGCCAAUGGUGAAGUCAACAGUAACACUUUGUCUUAGUUUCUUUGUAUUGCUUAACAGAAUACCACAGAAUAAUUUAUAUUUUUAAAAAACAACAACAAAAUUUUCUCAUAGAACUGGAGGCUGAAAGCCCAAGAUUAAGCUGCCAGCAUUUGGUCUGAUAAGAGCCUCCUUUCUGUAUCCUCAUAUGGCAGCAGUGGAAGGGCAAGAGAGACAGAGAGCCCCCUCGGCAGCCACAAGCCCUCAUGACUUUAUCACCCCUUACAGGCUCCACUUCUUCAUCCUAUCAUCGAGGAUUAGGUUUUAACCUAUGAAUCUCGAAGAGGACACAAGCAUUCAAACCAUUGCACCCUUAAUAAAGCAAAUCUGGAUCAGAAGCUGUAUCAUAAGAAGGAACCUGUAUCGACCCCCAGGGUGAAUUUGUGCUCUAGUGAAGAAGGUUUACUGACUGUGCCAUGCCUGGUGAGUCACUUCCCAUGUUUGAGCCUCACCUUCACAGUUUUCUCACUUGCAAAAUGGGUUCAUAACAGCAAUCAUAUGGUGUCUUUGUGAAAAUUAAGUACUAUGAUAUUUGUUCAGUACAGAGUAUGCUGCUGAGAGUAUGUUUAUGCAAUAAAAAGAAGCCAUGAUGAUGUUUGCAUUUGGUAUUUGAAGAUCAGUUUCAAAUGUUGGCCCCACCAUCUGCUAGCUGAGCAAUCUUGAACAAGGAGAUUUUGCUUCUCUGAAUCUCAGCCUCCUCAUCUGUCAAACGGGAAUGAGAACACUACCACCUCCCCCAAAGGACCGUCUGGAAAACCUAAGACGCACAUCUACUUGGACACAGUAUACUAACACCAUCCAUUCCACCCACCUCGCAGCAGGACCCCUCCUGGUGGCAGAAGAUGAGCCGCCUGAGGGCACAGGUAGUUUUAGGGGUUGGGGUCUCUGCCAGAUGGGCAGAGGAGCCUUCCUAUGGGAUUUGUUCAUUAGCCAGGAGCUUUAAGGUGGGGCUGGCCUGGCCUAGAGGUGCACCAUCCUGAUUUUGCCUGUGAAUUACUAAAAGCAGCAGAGUAAUUAUCCUCCUUCCUCUGUCCUGCCCCAAGUCUGGGAGCAGCCAGGGCCUAUGGGGACAAUGAACACAGAACAGAGCCAUUAAUUGCACACCAGGGUCCCUGGAGGAUGGCCAUAUGGGCCUGUCAUCUUAGUGUGGAAGUAAUCAUGUAAAUAAAUCACGUGUGAGUAAAUCACAGACUUAUCUCAUCUGUAAUUUUCUGGGAGUCUCUCCAGCACUGUUUAUUGAGGUGCAUGGGUCUGAAGCCCCAGAA